RNAcentral lists this ribosomal RNA (266 nucleotides) under uncultured Sporacetigenium sp. RNAcentral describes it as "partial 16S ribosomal RNA". It matches the Rfam family "Bacterial small subunit ribosomal RNA", at positions 72 to 339 of the family's 1533-position model. The record is from RNAcentral. Lineage: Bacteria; Bacillati; Bacillota; Clostridia; Peptostreptococcales; Tepidibacteraceae.
UAGCUUGCUAUGAGCUGUUUUAGCGGCGGACGGGUGAGUAACGCGUGGGUAACCUGCCCUGUACACACGGAUAACAUACCGAAAGGUAUGCUAAUACGAGAUGAUAUAUAAAAGUUGCAUGACUUUCAUAUCAAAGCUUUUGCGGUACAGGAUGGACCCGCGUCUGAUUAGCUAGUUGGUAAGGUAACGGCUUACCAAGGCGACGAUCAGUAGCCGACCUGAGAGGGUGAUCGGCCACACUGGAACUGAGACACGGUCCAGACUCC